Molecule: non-coding RNA, 246 nt
Organism: Vicia faba (fava bean)
Lineage: Eukaryota; Viridiplantae; Streptophyta; Magnoliopsida; Fabales; Fabaceae
Source: the annotation of a GenBank genome assembly
AUGGGGUUCUGGAUUGUGUUAUGGUCUUGGCUAGAAGGGUUUCUUCUCUUUGCAAAUGCAUUGGCAAUUUUGAACGAGGACCGAUUCCUUGCUCGAAGAGGAUGGACAUUGGCAGAAAUGACCGGACCUCAAAGGAAUACUCUUAAAGGACAAGUCAUAGGACUCAUUCACGUUUGUCAAUAUAUGAGACUUCCUCUUAUUUUCUUCAAUAUUCUCGUCAUCACAAAGAAACUGAUCGCUGGAUAA